GGCUGCUUCACGACAAGGAGCUGCUUCUGCGGCUCUACACACAGAACAUCGACGGGCUUGAGAGAGCAUCUGGUAUCCCUGCCUCAAAGCUGGUUGAAGCUCAUGGGUCCUUUGUAUCAGCUACGUGCACGGUCUGUCGAAGGUCCUUCCCAGGGGAAGACAUACGGGGGAAUCCCCAGCCAGGCUCACCUUAGCUGCUCAUCACUUCCACCCCCUUCCUCCCCUCUCCGUGUUCCCGGAGUAGAUGAGCAUUCACCUUCUGUCCGGCAGUCCAGUCGUGGCUUCUCUGCAGUGUACGCUGUUGCUACUGCUUGUGUUGCAUUCUGGUGAUUUCUUCUGGUCUAUUUCAAGCUUAUCAAUACCUUGUUGUGUUGUAGAGAAUAAAGUUCUUUCAUUGGAAUUUA
Molecule: long non-coding RNA, 404 nt
Filed under: Rattus norvegicus (Norway rat)
Lineage: Eukaryota; Metazoa; Chordata; Mammalia; Rodentia; Muridae
Description: long non-coding RNA NONRATT003331
Source: RNAcentral